AACUUCAAACCGCCACAGGUAACC
This 24-nucleotide microRNA is filed under the name Bombyx mori (domestic silkworm). RNAcentral describes it as "bmo-miR-2824". The record is from miRBase by way of RNAcentral. Lineage: Eukaryota; Metazoa; Arthropoda; Insecta; Lepidoptera; Bombycidae.